GCAGUCGUGGCCGAGCGGUUAAGGCGAUAGACUUGAAAUCUAUUUCCCUUUGGGAGCGCAGGUUCGAAUCCUGCCGACUGCG
This 82-nucleotide transfer RNA is filed under the name Orchesella cincta. It matches the Rfam family "tRNA". Rfam says of the family: Transfer RNA (tRNA) molecules are approximately 80 nucleotides in length. Their secondary structure includes four short double-helical elements and three loops (D, anti-codon, and T loops). The record is from Rfam by way of RNAcentral. Lineage: Eukaryota; Metazoa; Arthropoda; Collembola; Entomobryomorpha; Orchesellidae.